RNAcentral lists this ribosomal RNA (496 nucleotides) under uncultured bacterium. RNAcentral describes it as "partial 16S ribosomal RNA". It matches the Rfam family "Bacterial small subunit ribosomal RNA", at positions 29 to 507 of the family's 1533-position model. The record is from RNAcentral.
AUGAACGCUGGCGGCGUGCCUAAUACAUGCAAGUCGAGCGAACGGACGAGAAGCUUGCUUUUCUGAUGUUAGCGGCGGACGGGUGAGUAACACGUGGAUAACCUACCUAUAAGACUGGGAUAACUUCGGGAAACCGGAGCUAAUACCGGAUAAUAUUUUGAACCGCAUGGUUCAAAAGUGAAAGACGGUCUUGCUGUCACUUAUAGAUGGAUCCGCGCUGCAUUAGCUAGUUGGUAAGGUAACGGCUUACCAAGGCAACGAUGCAUAGCCGACCUGAGAGGGUGAUCGGCCACACUGGAACUGAGACACGGUCCAGACUCCUACGGGAGGCAGCAGUAGGGAAUCUUCCGCAAUGGGCGAAAGCCUGACGGAGUAACGCCGCGUGAGUGAUGAAGGUCUUCGGAUCGUAAAACUCUGUUAUUAGGGAAGAACAUAUGUGUAAGUAACUGUGCACAUCUUGACGGUACCUAAUCAGAAAGCCACGGCUAACUACGUG